AGCAGCCGCGGUAAUUCCAGCUCCAAUAGCGUAUAUUAAAGUUGUUGCAGUUAAAAAGCUCGUAGUUGAAUUUCGAGAUCAAUUUGUCGGUCGUGCCUCGGUACGUACUGGCAUUAUUGAUUUCUCCCUUCUGAAGAACCGCGAUGUCAUUAAUUUGGUGUCGUGGGGAAUCAGGACUGUUACUUUGAAAAAAUUAGUGUGUUUAAAGCAGGCGCACGCUUGAAUACAUUAGCAUGGAAUAAUGAAAUAGGACGUUUGAUUCUAUUUUGUUGGUUUCUAGGAUCGACGUAAUGAUUAAUAGGGAUAGUUGGGGGCAUUAGUAUUCAAUUGUCAGAGGUGAAAUUCUUGGAUUUAUUGAAGACUAACUACUGCGAAAGCAUUUGCCAAGGAUGUUUUCAUUAAUCAAGAACGAAAGUUAGGGGAUCGAAGACGAUCAGAUACCGUCGUAGUCUUAACCAUAAACUAUGCCGACUAGGGAUCGGAUGAUGUUAAUUUUUUAAUGACUCAUUCGGCGCCUUACG
This 521-nucleotide ribosomal RNA is filed under the name uncultured Glomeraceae. RNAcentral's name for it is "SSU rRNA". It matches the Rfam family "Eukaryotic small subunit ribosomal RNA", at positions 569 to 1092 of the family's 1831-position model. Lineage: Eukaryota; Fungi; Glomeromycota; Glomeromycetes; Glomerales; Glomeraceae. The record is from RNAcentral.